AACGAACGCUGGCGGCAUGCCUAACACAUGCAAGUCGAACGAGACCUUCGGGUCUAGUGGCGCACGGGUGCGUAACGCGUGGGAACCUGCCCUUAGGUUCGGAAUAACUCCCCGAAAGGGGUGCUAAUAUCGGAUAAUGUCUCCGGACCAAAGAGUUAUCGCCUUUGGAUGGGCCCGCGUUGGAUUAGCUAGUUGGUAGGGUAAAAGCCUACCAAGGCGACGAUCCAUAGCUGGUCUGAGAGGAUGAUCAGCCACACUGGGACUGAGACACGGCCCAGACUCCUACGGGAGGCAGCAGUGGGGAAUAUUGGACAAUGGGCGAAAGCAUGAUCCAGCAAUGCCGCGUGAGUGAUGAAGGCCUUAGGGUUGUAAAGCUCUUUUACCCGGGAUGAUAAUGACAGUACCGGGAGAAUAAGCUCCGGCUAACUCCGUG
Molecule: ribosomal RNA, 433 nt
Filed under: uncultured bacterium
Lineage: Bacteria
Description: partial 16S ribosomal RNA
Rfam family: Bacterial small subunit ribosomal RNA
Source: RNAcentral